AGUGAACGCUGGCGGUAGGCCUAACACAUGCAAGUCGAACGGCAGCACAGUAAGAGCUUGCUCUUACGGGUGGCGAGUGGCGGACGGGUGAGGAAUACAUCGGAAUCUACUUUUUCGUGGGGGAUAACGUAGGGAAACUUACGCUAAUACCGCAUACGACCUACGGGUGAAAGCAGGGGAUCUUCGGACCUUUCGCGAUUGAAUGAGCCGAUGUCGGAUUAGCUAGUUGGCGGGGUAAAGGCCCACCAAGGCGACGAUCCGUAGCUGGUCUGAGAGGGUGAUCAGCCACACUGGAACUGAGACACGGUCCAGACUCCUACGGGAGGCAGCAGUGGGGAAUAUUGGACAAUGGGCGCAAGCCUGAUCCAGCCAUACCGCGUGAGUGAAGAAGGUCUUCGGGUUGUAAAGCCCUUUUGUUGGGAAAGAAAAGCAGCAGGUUAAUACCCCGCUGUUCUGACGGUACCCAAAGAAUAAGCACCGGCUAACUUCGUG
RNAcentral lists this ribosomal RNA (492 nucleotides) under uncultured bacterium. RNAcentral's name for it is "partial 16S ribosomal RNA". It matches the Rfam family "Bacterial small subunit ribosomal RNA", at positions 29 to 507 of the family's 1533-position model. The record is from RNAcentral.